RNAcentral lists this ribosomal RNA (995 nucleotides) under uncultured bacterium. Its description in RNAcentral is "bacterial SSU rRNA". It matches the Rfam family "Bacterial small subunit ribosomal RNA", at positions 356 to 1376 of the family's 1533-position model. The record is from RNAcentral.
GGGGAAUAUUGCACAAUGGGGGAAACCCUGAUGCAGCGACGCCGCGUGGAGGAAGAAGGUCUUCGGAUUGUAAACUCCUGUUGUUGAGGAAGAUAAUGACGGUACUCAACAAGGAAGUGACGGCUAACUACGUGCCAGCAGCCGCGGUAAAACGUAGGUCACAAGCGUUGUCCGGAAUUACUGGGUGUAAAGGGAGCGCAGGCGGGAAGACAAGUUGGAAGUGAAAUCUAUGGGCUCAACCCAUAAACUGCUUUCAAAACUGUUUUUCUUGAGUAGUGCAGAGGUAGGCGGAAUUCCCGGUGUAGCGGUGGAAUGCGUAGAUAUCGGGAGGAACACCAGUGGCGAAGGCGGCCUACUGGGCACCAACUGACGCUGAGGCUCGAAAGUGUGGGUAGCAAACAGGAUUAGAUACCCUGGUAGUCCACACCGUAAACGAUGAUUACUAGGUGUUGGAGGAUUGACCCCUUCAGUGCCGCAGUUAACACAAUAAGUAAUCCACCUGGGGAGUACGACCGCAAGGUUGAAACUCAAAGGAAUUGACGGGGGCCCGCACAAGCAGUGGAGUAUGUGGUUUAAUUCGACGCAACGCGAAGAACCUUACCAAGUCUUGACAUCCCUUGACGAACAUAGAAAUAUGUUUUCUCUUCGGAGCAAGGAGACAGGUGGUGCAUGGUUGUCGUCAGCUCGUGUCGUGAGAUGUUGGGUUAAGUCCCGCAACGAGCGCAACCCUUAUGGUCAGUUACUACGCAAGAGGACUCUGGCCAGACUGCCGUUGACAAAACGGAGGAAGGUGGGGAUGACGUCAAAUCAUCAUGCCCUUUAUGACUUGGGCUACACACGUACUACAAUGGCGUUAAACAAAGAGAAGCAAGACCGCGAGGUGGAGCAAAACUCAGAAACAACGUCCCAGUUCGGACUGCAGGCUGCAACUCGCCUGCACGAAGUCGGAAUUGCUAGUAAUCGUGGAUCAGCAUGCCACGGUGAAUACGUUCCCG